AACGAACGCUGGCGGCAUGCCUAACACAUGCAAGUCGAACGAGACCUUCGGGUCUAGUGGCGCACGGGUGCGUCACGCGUGGGAACCUGCACGUAGGUUCGGAAUAACUCCCCGAAAGGGGUGCUAAUACCGGAUAAUGUCUUCGGACCAAAGAUUUAUCGCCUUUGGAUGGGCCCGCGUUGGAUUAGCUUGUUGGUAGGGUAAAAGCCUACCAAGGCGACGAUCCAUAGCUGGUCGGAGAGAAUGAUCAGCCACACUGGGACUGAGACACGGCCCAGACUCCUACGGGAGGCAGCAGAGGGGAAUAUUGGACAAUGGGCGAAAGCAUGAUCCAGCAAUGCCGCGUGAGUGAUGAAGGCCGGAGGGUUGUAAAGCUCCUUUACCCGGGAUGAUAAUGACAGUACCGGGAGAAUAAGCUCCGGCUAACUCCGUG
Molecule: ribosomal RNA, 433 nt
Filed under: uncultured bacterium
Lineage: Bacteria
Description: partial 16S ribosomal RNA
Rfam family: Bacterial small subunit ribosomal RNA
Source: RNAcentral